AGCAACCCACCCCAGCAUCCCAUCCCAACAUCCUACCCUAAAAUCCCACCCCAACUCCCCACCCCAACAUCCCAUCCUAAAAUCCCAUCCCAUCCCAGCAUGCCAUCCCAGCAUCCUAACCCGGCAUCCCACCCUCAAAUCCCAUCCCAGCAUCUCACCCCAAAAUCCCGUCCCGGCAUCCCAACUCAACAUCCCAACUCAGCAUCCCACCCCAAAAUCCCAUCCCAGCUCCCCACCCCAGGAUCUCAACCCCACAUCCUACUCUAAAAUCCCACCACAGCGUGCCAUCCCAGCAUCCCAACUCAACAUCCCACCCUCAAAUCUUAUCCCAGCAUCCCAUCCCAGUGUCUCACCCUAAAAUCCCACCCCAGCACCCCAACCCAACAUCCCAACCCAACAUCCCACUCUAAAACCCCAUCCCACCUCCCCACCCCAGCAUCCCACCCUCAAAUCCCACCCUCAAACCCCAUCCCAACUCCCCACCCCGACUCCCCACCCUCAAAUCCCACCCCAUCCCCCUCUGGGACCGCGCUGCCGUGGGUUGGACGCCCACCCCCGUUGUGGCCUGGGGGCUCUCGGGGUCUCCAUUCUCAGGCCGCCGGCCCCAAGGAGGAGGAGGCGGAGGAGGACGGCACCCGGAGGAGCCCACCCCGCAGCCGCAGGGGCGAUGCUAAAGGAGGUGCGGGGGUCACCGGGGGUCCCCACGCCCCGUGCCCCCCCCCGGAUGGGUCUGUACCGACGCGGGCUGCUCCCCCAGGUUUCCUGGCGGCCCGGCUGCGUGGGCGCUGGCAGCGGCUGUGGUGCGCGGCGCGGCAGGGAGCCCUGCGCAUGUUCCCGGAGCCGGGGGGCACCGUGCGUGUCCCCCCCCGCCGUGCCCAGGUCCUGGACGGCCGCGAUGUCCCCCCGGGGGCCGCCUCUGGGUCCCCCCAACGCCUCCGCGUCGUCCGGCGGGGCCGGGAGCUCGCCGUGCCGCAGCGGCCCCGUUCGGAUGAGGGGGGGGAAGCCGGGCCGAAAGCCCCGCGGGCCAGGGGAGGAGGGCGGCCACCGGGGGACGACGCGUGUGCGGAGACCCCCAAGCUGGGGGAUGGCAGCCCCCCAACCGCUGCAGGGUAAGGAGACGGCGGCACGGCCCCCCCGCCCCCCCAACCCCCCUUCCUCCUGCCCCACUGCGGGGCUGCCCCUCAGCGCCUGCCCCCCAACCCUGCUCGCAGGGGGCUGCUCCUGCGCCGCGUGCCGACCCCCAACGCCUACAUGGACGACCCCUUCGGGCAGCCCCCCCGCUCUGCAGCCCCCCAGCACCUCUACUCCAACGCGGAGCGGCUGCAGCGCUUGGUAACCCCAC
RNAcentral lists this long non-coding RNA (1342 nucleotides) under Numida meleagris (helmeted guineafowl). Its description in RNAcentral is "lncRNA (ENSNMEG00000002046.1)". The record is from RNAcentral. Lineage: Eukaryota; Metazoa; Chordata; Aves; Galliformes; Numididae.